ACAUGAGGGCUCAUUGGAUCCACAAGUCUCAGCUUUCCAGUCAUACCCAAUUUAUGAAAUUAAUCACAUACACCAUUUUCGAAUAGGCCGAUUGUUUACCCUCUUUCCCGACAAGUUAAGGUUAAAGAGGUUAAACCGUUUCCUAAAAAGGUUGUUGACAGGGUGUGAAGGCAGCAGAUGUUUUGUUCGUUAUAUAUAUCUGCCGUUUGCUCCAACGCUGUGGGCGUUUCCAUAGAGCACGUGAAGGCAUCAGUUGGUCAACGUGCGUCAGUGUCUCCGCCCUGACGGUCAGUGACAGCUCGAGCUCCCUCACCAGCAGAGAACAGACGCGACGAAGCGGCACAGUCCCCUGCUAACAUGAAGGACAACAGUUUGCCCCGAAUUGUAGUUAUUACCUUGUGUACGGUGGUUUUUAUUGCCGUUUUAAUUGUUAACGCUUUGGCUGGAGCGGGAAGGGGUCCUUUCCAUUCCUCCAUAGCUAAUGUGUCAGGCCGCUAUGAGACGGACAUCACUCCAGCUGGCUGGACCUUCUCUAUCUGGGGCGUUAUCUACACCUGGCUCACCCUGAUGGUCAUAUACAUGCUGACAUAUGUAUUCAGAGGAUCCUGGGCUCAGUGUCUGCUGCCCUACACCUUCUAUUUCUUCUGGCUGGCCAACAUGGUGAUGAACAUGAUAUGGUUGCUGCUCUGGGAUAGAGAGUUGAUGCUUGCUUCUCUGGUUGUGUUAAUCCUGAUGGUGAUUUCCAACUACAUUGCUUUGUUCUGCUGUUGCUUUGCCACAGAUUACUAUGGACUCUGGUUACAGACGUACCAUCGCAAAGACCUGGUGGCUCUCAGAAUACUGGUCCAGAAUGGUUUGGCUCUCUACACCACAUGGAUCUCCAUCGCUUCUCUGAUCAACUUCUCAUUGGUUCUCCAUCUGUGGGGUGUGGGCAGGAGCACAGCAGCAACAGCUUCUCUCUGCAUCCUGUUUGCUGAGGUGGUGGGAUGGUUCCUCCUUGAGAACUGGCUGCUGGACCGCUGGGUGCGUAACAUCCUGACAGUGUACCCGGUGGUGAUCGUGGCUCUGGUUGGAAACGUCUUCAAACAUUUUAACCCAGCUGAUCCCACUCCCAACUCUGUGUUUAUGGUUGUACUGCUGGUGUUGGCAUGUGUGCUGCUGGUUUCCCGACUUUGCACCAUCAUCUGGAGAAACACAUGGCGGCCUCUCCACUCCCCAGGCUCGGCCCGGCUCAUGGUUUCACCCCUUGAUGGCAGAACAUUCAAGAUAUUUACUUAAACAACAGGAACUUGUGAAGUAGCUGCUGUGCCACUGCUGCCUUUAAACUCUUUAAAUUCCAUUUCCUCACAAGAUAGUGCAAUGCUCCACGAGGCUUUACAGUCAUGAAGGUGUUCAGCUGAAAGCUUGAAAGUGUUAAGAGUCUGUAACUCUCCUCUUGUCUCCUAUCAAUCUGCAAUUAAGACAAUGCUACACUUUAUUCAAAUAAACUACUAUAACUGUUUACCACUUCUUGCCAUUAAUCUUGUCUAUAUGUAAAGUACUUUUCAUACAAAUACAUGCAUGUGAUUUGAUCAUCAUGUUGUGUAUUGCUAUUUUGAAGGAGUUUUAUUGUUGCAUAUUAUGGCUUUUUUUUAAUUGUGUAUCCAUUCAGUGAUGAUAUAUGUUGGCUUUUAUACAGUCCACUUUGAACUUUGAGCUAAGAGUGUUGUUGAAUACAUUCUCAUUUGCCAAUUAAAGCAUUGUUUUUCACAUCUAAUGCUGUCUGAUUUCCUGAAAAUACGUAAAAUCAACUGCAAAAAAACACUAU
Molecule: long non-coding RNA, 1807 nt
Organism: Cottoperca gobio
Lineage: Eukaryota; Metazoa; Chordata; Actinopteri; Perciformes; Bovichtidae
Source: Ensembl